CAAGUUUGCCAGUGAUGGCAAGCUGAAUUGUAAGAAGUCAGCAGAGGUCAUAGUAGUUCCCUUGGAACAAAGGAC
This 75-nucleotide non-coding RNA is filed under the name Ureibacillus acetophenoni. Lineage: Bacteria; Bacillati; Bacillota; Bacilli; Caryophanales; Caryophanaceae. The record is from RNAcentral.